RNAcentral lists this unclassified non-coding RNA (350 nucleotides) under soil metagenome. Its description in RNAcentral is "partial contains 5.8S ribosomal RNA, internal transcribed spacer 2, and large subunit ribosomal RNA". The stretch from base 1 to 120 matches the Rfam family "5.8S ribosomal RNA", at positions 35 to 154 of the family's 154-position model. The record is from RNAcentral.
GAUGAAGAACGUAGCGAACUGCGAUAAGUAAUGUGAAUUGCAGAAUUCAGUGAAUCAUCGAGUCUUUGAACGCACAUUGCGCCCCCUGGCAUUCCGGGGGGCAUGCCUGUCCGAGCGUCAUUGCUGCCCUUCAAGCCCGGCUUGUGUGUUGGGUCGUCGUCCCCCCCGGGGGACGGGCCCGAAAGGCAGCGGCGGCACCGCGUCCGGUCCUCGAGCGUAUGGGGCUUUGUCACCCGCUCGAUUAGGGCCGGCCGGGCGCCAGCCGGCGUCUCCAACCUUCUAUUGUACCAGGUUGACCUCGGAUCAGGUAGGGAUACCCGCUGAACUUAAGCAUAUCAAUAAGCGGAGGA